RNAcentral lists this ribosomal RNA (478 nucleotides) under uncultured bacterium. Its description in RNAcentral is "partial 16S ribosomal RNA". It matches the Rfam family "Bacterial small subunit ribosomal RNA", at positions 28 to 523 of the family's 1533-position model. The record is from RNAcentral.
GACGAACGCUGGCGGCGUGCUUAACACAUGCAAGUCGAACGGUAAGGCCCUUCGGGGUACACGAGUGGCGAACGGGUGAGUAACACGUGGGUGAUCUGCCCUGCACUUCGGGAUAAGCCUGGGAAACUGGGUCUAAUACCGGAUAGGACUCCUGCCUGCAUGGGUGGGGGUGGAAAGCUUUUGCGGUGUGGGAUGGGCCCGCGGCCUAUCAGCUUGUUGGUGGGGUGAUGGCCUACCAAGGCGACGACGGGUAGCCGGCCUGAGAGGGUGACCGGCCACACUGGGACUGAGAUACGGCCCAGACUCCUACGGGAGGCAGCAGUGGGGAAUAUUGCACAAUGGGCGCAAGCCUGAUGCAGCGACGCCGCGUGAGGGAUGACGGCCUUCGGGCUGUAAACCUCUUUCAGCACAGACGAAGCGCAAGUGACGGUAUGUGCAGAAGAAGGACCGGCCAACUACGUGCCAGCAGCCGCGGUAA